AACAAUGAGCGAAUUAGUUGUAGGGCCUCUCUCCAGUGGCAGGAAAUAUAAAUGGUCAUGGGGCAUGGAUUUUCUGUUCUCUCGUGAGCUAUAACCUGCCAAAGGAGAGUUGCCCUUCGACUGCUUCUGCUUAGUU
Molecule: microRNA precursor, 136 nt
Filed under: Malus domestica (apple)
Lineage: Eukaryota; Viridiplantae; Streptophyta; Magnoliopsida; Rosales; Rosaceae
Description: miR399k stem-loop (mdm-MIR399k)
Gene: mdm-MIR399k
Source: miRBase by way of RNAcentral